This 430-nucleotide ribosomal RNA is filed under the name bacterium. RNAcentral's name for it is "partial 16S ribosomal RNA". It matches the Rfam family "Bacterial small subunit ribosomal RNA", at positions 355 to 776 of the family's 1533-position model. The record is from RNAcentral.
UGGGGAAUAUUGGACAAUGGGCGAAAGCCUGAUCCAGCCAUGCCGCGUGUGUGAAGAAGGCCUUUCGGUUGUAAAGCACUUUAAGCGAGGAGGAGGCUACUUAGAUUAAUACUCUAGGAUAGUGGACGUUACUCGCAGAAUAAGCACCGGCUAACUCUGUGCCAGCAGCCGCGGUAAUACAGAGGGUGCGAGCGUUAAUCGGAUUUACUGGGCGUAAAGCGUGCGUAGGCGGCUUCUUAAGUCGGAUGUGAAAUCCCUGAGCUUAACUUAGGAAUUGCAUUCGAUACUGGGAAGCUAGAGUAUGGGAGAGGAUGGUAGAAUUCCAGGUGUAGCGGUGAAAUGCGUAGAGAUCUGGAGGAAUACCGAUGGCGAAGGCAGCCAUCUGGCCUAAUACUGACGCUGAGGUACGAAAGCAUGGGGAGCAAACAGG